This 851-nucleotide ribosomal RNA is filed under the name uncultured Lachnospiraceae bacterium. RNAcentral's name for it is "bacterial SSU rRNA". It matches the Rfam family "Bacterial small subunit ribosomal RNA", at positions 614 to 1464 of the family's 1533-position model. The record is from RNAcentral. Lineage: Bacteria; Bacillati; Bacillota; Clostridia; Lachnospirales; Lachnospiraceae.
CCUGGGACUGCAUUGGAAACUGUCUGGCUCGAGUGCCGGAGAGGUAAGCGGAAUUCUUAGUGUAGCGGUGAAAUGCGUAGAUAUUAGGAAGAACACCAGUGGCGAAGGCGGCUUACUGGACGGUAACUGACGUUGAGGCUCGAAAGCGUGGGGAGCGAACAGGAUUAGAUACCCUGGUAGUGCACGCCGUAAACGAUGAAUGCUAGGUGUUGGGGAGCACAGCUCUUCGGUGCCGCCGCAAACGCACUAAGCAUUCCACCUGGGGAGUACGUUCGCAAGAAUGAAACUCAAAGGAAUUGACGGGGAGCCGCACAAGCGGUGGAGCACGUGGUUUAAUUCGAAGCAACGCGAAGAGCCUUACCAGGUCUUGACAUCCCGAUGACCGCCCCGUAACGGGGCCUUCUCUUCGGAGCACUGGAGACAGGUGGUGCAUGGUGGUCGUCAGCUCGUGUCGUGAGAUGUUGGGUUAAGUCCCGCACCGAGCGCACCCCUUAUCUUCAGUAGCCAGCAGGUCAAGCUGGGCACUCUGUGGAGACUGCCAGGGAUAACCUGGAGGAAGGUGGGGAUGACGUCAAAUCAUCAUGCCCCUUAUGAUCUGGGCUACACACGUGCUACAAUGGCGUAAACAAAGGGAGGCAAAGCCGCGAGGUGGAGCAAAUCCCAAAAAUAACGUCUCAGUUCGGACUGCAGUCUGCAACUCGACUGCACGAAGCUGGAAUCGCUAGUAAUCGCGAAUCAGAAUGUCGCGGUGAAUACGUUCCCGGGUCUUGUACACACCGCCAGUGACACCAUGGGAGUUGGUAACGCCCGAAGUCAGUGACCCAACCUUUAGGAGGGAGCUGCCGAAGGCG